RNAcentral lists this ribosomal RNA (414 nucleotides) under uncultured microorganism. Its description in RNAcentral is "bacterial SSU rRNA". It matches the Rfam family "Archaeal small subunit ribosomal RNA", at positions 330 to 745 of the family's 1478-position model. The record is from RNAcentral.
GUGCAGCAGUCGAGAAAACUUCACACUGUGCGAAAGCACGAUGAGGGAAUCCCAAGUGCUUGCACGUAAGUGUAAGCUGUUUCUCUGUUUAAAACGCAGAGAGAGUAAGGGCUGGGUAAGACGGGUGCCAGCCGCCGCGGUAAUACCUGCAGCCCAAGUGGUGACCGUUAUUAUUGGGCCUAAAACGUCCGUAGCCGGUUUAAUAAAUGCCUGGGUAAAUCGUGUAGCUUAACUAUACGAAUUCCGGGUAGACUGUUAAACUCGAGACCGGGAGAAGUUAGAGGUACUCCUGGGGUAGAGGUGAAAUUCUGUAAUCCUAGGGGGACCACCAGUGGCGAAGGCGUCUAACUAGAACGGGUCUGACGGUGAGGGACGAAGCCCUGGGGCGCAAACGGGAUUAGAUACCCGCGUAGU